UACGUAGGGUGCAAGCGUUGUCCGGAAUUAUUGGGCGUAAAGAGCUCGUAGGCGGUCUGUCGCGUCGGAUGUGAAAACCCAGGGCUCAACCCUGGGCCUGCAUUCGAUACGGGCAGACUAGAGUUCGGUAGGGGAGACUGGAAUUCCUGGUGUAGCGGUGAAAUGCGCAGAUAUCAGGAGGAACACCGGUGGCGAAGGCGGGUCUCUGGGCAGUAACUGACGCUGAGGAGCGAAAGUGUGGGGAGCGAACAGG
This 253-nucleotide ribosomal RNA is filed under the name uncultured bacterium. RNAcentral's name for it is "partial 16S ribosomal RNA". It matches the Rfam family "Bacterial small subunit ribosomal RNA", at positions 524 to 776 of the family's 1533-position model. The record is from RNAcentral.